UUCAAGGAACAAAACUUUAUUGGUGGAGGAAAGGUUGAGAUGGAGUUAUUAUUUAAAGGGUAUAGGGACUUAGUUGUGUAAAAUGAAGAGUUCUAGAGAUGGAUAGUGGUGAUGGUUGCAUAAUACCACUGAAUUGAACACUUGAAAAUAGUUUAAAGUGUGAUACAUGUACACACGCAAACACAUAUAAUGGAAUGUUAUUCAGUCAUAAAAAAAGAGAAAAUCCUGCCAUUUACAAUAACAUGGAGGGAUCUUGCAGGUAUUAUGCUAAGUAAAAUAAUUUAGACAGAGAAAGACACUGCAUGAUCUCACCUAUGUGUCCAAAAAAAAAAAAAAACUGAACUCAUAAGUCAGAGAAUAGAUUGGGGGUUGCCAAAGGCAGGAAGGGGGGCAAAAUGGGUGAAAGUGGGCAAAAUGUAUAAACUUCCAACAUGUACAGCAUGGGGACUAUAGUUAACAAUAUCGUUAAGUUUAUGUUUAUGUUAUGUUUAAGUUUAUGUGAAAGUUGCUAAGAGAGUAGAUCUUCAAAGUUCCCAUGACAAGGAAAAAAAAGUAGGCAUUCCCAUCAUGGUGCAGCAGAAACGAAUCUGACUAGGAACCAUGAGGUUGCAGGUUAGAUCCCUAGCCUCGCUCAGUGGGUUGAGGAUCCAGCAUUGCUGUGGCUGUGGCGUAGGCUGGCAGCAACAGUUCCAAUUAGACCCCUAGCAUGGGAACCUCCGUAUGUCAUGAGUGCAACCCUAAAAAGACAAAAAAUAAAAUAAAAACUGUAACUAUGUGAGGUGAUGAACGUUAACUGGAUUUACUAUUGUGAUGACUUUGCAAUAUAUACAAAUAUCAAAUCAUUAUGUUGUGAACACACCUGAAACUAAUUUGAAGUUACAGGUCAACUACAUCUCAAUUAUGAUGGUAAAUUUGAUAUUGUGUGUAGUUUACCACAAUUGAGAAAAAGACCUGGGGGGGUUGCCAUCCCCAGGAACAGGAAUAAGGGAAAAAUGGAGCCAAACCAGCAGAGGAGAGACAGAACAAAGAGGCCAGUGAUAUGGGGGGCUGGCUGCUCGAUCCUUCAGGAUUGUCUCAGGAACUUUAUGAAACAUGACGCAAGUUUGUCCAUUAGAGGGGCAGGGAAAAGCAAUAAACUCCAGGCUCCACCCUGCAGGUUGGACACAGAUUGCCCCACAAGGCAAUCUCCCCAACACGUCUAGGAUACACAUCAGUGGGAGACAAGUGAUUUCAUCGCCUGAGGCAACACAUAGUUGAGUUGCAUACGUGCAGCGGGUUAGAACCUCAAGAAAUUGAUUACAGCAUGGCGGCUAGAGAAAGAGACAGAUGAGGCCAUAGGGACCUGAAAUGAUGUCCAACACACAGCUGGAAUAUAGAAACAAAGGGAGACGGAACUACUCUUAGUAAUGCUCUAAUGCAAUACUAAGCAAUGCUCCAAUUUUGAAAUUUAUCAUUAAAUACACUACUGUACAACCUCUGAUCAUUUGCCUACCAUUUUUUACCAUAGCUAUAUACCACCUUUAUAAUCAAAUAUUGGAUAUUUUCUUUAAACUUUUGCCCUAAUUUCUGGCAGGUUAUUGAGAUAUAGUCUCUAUUCGGUAGAAUUCACUCUUUUAAGGUGUGCAGAUUGAUAACGUUUUGAUAAACAUAAUUGUGUAACCACCACCACCAUCAAGGUACACGUUUCGAUCAUUCCAGAAUUUCCCGUGGGGCCCUUUAUAGGUUAUGCCCACCUCCCUCACCAGAACCCUGGCAAUCAGAGAUUUCUGUCCCUGUAAAUCUGCCUUUUCAAGACUGUCCUUAAAGAAGGACUCAUACAUAUGUGAUCUUUUUUCUUACAUUUGUUUUAGAAAAAGUAAACUUAAUCUCAUUACUAUAAAGCAUGUAUACGAAUCAUUAUACACAUCCAAGCACACAUAAAAUUAUAACAAAAUAUACCACCUACACCAAUCAUAUUGUAAUACACCUUAAAGCACACACACAAUUAGAAGAAUUAAAAUGUACCACCUAUACCUUAUCUUCUACUAUCACAUGAAAAACAGCACAUGGAUUUGGCUGGGCCGGGAGUGACUAGUACGGGACCAGCACGCAGGUGUGAAAAGCACAGGCAAGCAUCAGCUGCCAAAGGCAGAGGUGGAACCGAGUCGACUGUGCAGACCAAGGGUGUUUGGGCAGGCAGGUGGGCAAUGAGAACCGAGGACUCAUGAAGAACUGACCCCUGGAAUUCCAGGCAAGUGUUUCCUGAUUCAGACCCUGGGUUUAUGGGCUAUGUACAGUCUCUGUGUGGACACUGGCCACAACAGAGGAGCACUCUGAAUUCAGAGCCUCUGGAACCCUAGGCUGGUAUUCAAGAGAAGGACUCAAACUUAGAGAGUAAGCUUGGCUUCCAGAUAAUUCAUUCACUCGUUCAAGACAUAUUUAUUGGCACCUACUCUGUGGGUGUUCAUAGCUCUGAGGGAUACUAAAGAGAAAAAAAGUCUCCACGCAGUUUACAUUCUGGACUAAACAGACAGAUAAUCAACCCAUGAGUAUAUAUAUGAUAUGACGGUGAUAAAUCCAAGGAAAGAAAAUAAAGCUGGCUCAGAGGACACAGGUUGUUCUCUCUUAACACAACGUGGUCAGAGUAGACUUUCCUCAGAAAGUGCUUUUAAACAGGGAGUUCCUGUCAUGGCGCAGUGGUUAACGAAUCCCACUAGGAACCAUGAGGUUGCAGGUUCAAUCCCUGGCCUUGCUCAGUGGGUUAAGGAUCUGGCGUUGCCGUGAGCUGUGGUGUGGGUCGCAGACGCGGCUCGGAUCCCACAUUGCUGUGGCUCUGCCGUAGGCCGGCGGCUACAGCUCCGAUUGAGACCCCUAGCCUUGAACCUCCAUAUGCCACGGGAGCAGCCCUAGAAAUAGCAAAAAGAAAAAAAAAAGAAGAAAAAUUGCUUUUAAGCAGAGACGUGAAGGAAGAAAUGUAACUGCUAAAUGCCCCUUCAAGGUUGAGGUCAGUCUAUCAGAACUUUCCACCAAACUCCUAAUUCAAACAAAAACUCAGUGUAAAUUAAGUGUAACCAAGAUAAUUCAAAACAUGCACAGAGGAAAAAUAAAUGCAGGUGUUUCUCUACUCUUCGCAAACUUAAAGGACUAUUUUGUUUUUUUCAUUGAAAAAGAUACAUGCACCCCUAUGUUCAUCGCAGUACUAUUCACCAUAGCCAAGACAUGGAAACAACCUAAAUAUCCAUGGACAGAUGAAAGGAUUAAGAAGAUGUGGUGGAGUUCCUGUCAUGGCGCAGUGGUUAAUGAAUCCGACUAGGAACCAUGAGGUUAUGGGUUCGAUCCCUGCCCUUGCUCAGUGGGUUAAGGAUCCGGAGUUGCCGUGAGCUGUGGUGUAGGUCGCAGACGCGGCUCGGAUCUCGCGUUGCUGUGGCCCUGGCGUAAGCCGACAGCUAUAGCUCUAAUUAGAGCCCUAGCCUAGGAACCUCUAUAUGCCACAGGAGUGGCCCUAGAAAAGGCAAAAAACAACAACAAAAAAAUAGAAGAUGUGUAAUUAUACACAAUGGAAUACUACUCAGUCAUUAAAAAGACAAACUAAUGCCAUUUGCAGCAACAUGGAUGGAACUAGAGAUUCUCAUAUGUGGAAUCUAAAUAUGGGCAGUUCAGGGUUUUGGGUACACACUGAUAUAUUUGGGGCCCUAUUGUAUAGCACAGUGGGCUGUUGUGUUCAGUGUUGCAUGGUUCAAUCAUGAUGUGCUAACUGGUUAUUGGCUUAAGGUUAAGACUAUCAAACUACUUAUGCACUCUCAGGCCUGAGUAGCUGGUCAUGAUCAGAAAGUCAUAGGCUUUCGGAGUCUCUGUUGUGGCAUGGCAGAAACAGAUCUGACUAGGAACCAUGAGGUUGCAGGUUCAAUCCUCUGGCCUUGCUCAGUAGGUUAAGGAUCCGGCGUGCCAUGAGCUGUGGUGUAGGUCACAGACUAGGCUCAGAUCUAGCAUUGCUAUCGCUGUGGUAUAGGCCGACAGCUACAGCUCUGAUCUAACCCCCUAUCCUGGGAACCUCCAUAAGCCACGGGUGCGGCCCUAAAAAGACAAAAUUAAAAAGAAAAAAAAGAGAGAGUCAUAGGCUUUUAAGACUUAACCUGGAAUUCCCUGGUGGUCUAGCAGUUAAGGAUCUGGCAUUGUCACUGCUGUGGCUUUAGCCACAUACCAAACAAGUCUUAACCUGUAUGGGAUGAAACCAAACAUCUCAAAGACAAACCCUGACCUGGUCUUCUGAUAAUGAGGCUCCAGGUGAGGUUGCCCUGGGAAGACUGCGGUGGCUUUUAUGUCUCUGGUGAGUGGUGAGGAUGUGGAAUAGUCAUUGGCAAACUAUAACCUACAGGCCAAAUUCUGCCCUAAGCCCCUUCACUGGAGCAGAGUCACACCCACUCACCCUUUCAUUUAUUUAUGUUAUCGUCUGUGGCGGCUUCUGCCCUUCAACCACAAAAUACCACAUUCUAGGUGGCUUAAACAAUAGAAAUUUAUUUGCUCACCGUUCUGGAGGCUCGAAGUCCAAGAUCAAGGUACCAGCAGGGGCGGUUUCUGCUGAGAGCUCUCUUUCUAACUUAUAGGCAACUGCCUUCUUGCUGUGGGUCCACAUGGACUUUGCUCAGUAUAUGCACAUGAAGAGGGAGAGAGAGACACGGAGCGAGGGAGAAAGAGAUUGUCUCUGGUAUCUACUUAUGGUACCUACUUAUAAGGGCACCUAAUCUUAUUGGACCAAGACCCAACUUUCAUGACCUCAUCUAAUUAUAAUUACUUCCCUGAGUCCCAGUCUCCAAAUACUCAUCACAUUGGGGGUUAGGGCUUCAGCACGUGAAUUUGAGGGGAUACAAACAUUCGCUACACAGCAGGCAGUAAUGUUUAAAAUGAAAACCAGUGUUUUAACGUCUCAUUUUAUGAGUUAGGAUUUUUUUUUUGAAAUCAACCCAUCCUCUGAAGAACUACAACAAACCACUUUCCAGAGUCGGCAGAGGAAGUAACAACUAUCUCUUUUCUCUCAGUUAAAAGGUUUUUUAGGAGUUCCUGUUGUGGCACAGCAGAAAAGAAUCCAACUAGUAACAAUGCGGUUGCGGGUUCGAUCCUUGCCCUUGCUCAGUGGUGGGUUAAGGAUCUGGCGUUGCUGUGAGCUGUGGUGUAGGUCCCAGACACAUCUUGGAUCCUGUGUUGCCAUGACUGUGGUUUAGGCCGGCAGUGAGAGCUCAGAUUCAACCCCUAGCCUGGGAACCUCUAGAUGCCACAAGUGAGGCCCUAAAAAAAGCAAAAAAAAAAAAAAAGUUUUUUUAUUAAAUGCAAGAGCAAAGGAGAUCUUCUAUUGCCUCUGGAAAAUCAUAAGUAAACAUGUGAUUCCCUCAGGGCAUAUAGCACUAGGGAGAUUAAAACUUGGAAUUCAAACCAACCUUCUUUACUUUGCCGGCUUUUCUUCUUCUUCCCCGCCCCGCCUGCAUCUCACUCUAGUCCCACAAUGUAAUUCUCUUUAUUUUUCAUCAAUAGGUUAAGUUGCAAGAAAUAGAAAAUCUAACUGAAAAAUGACAUAAUCAGACCUGUGAUGGAAGAUAAUAUGUAGUGUUUUCCUCCUGUUCCAAAAAGAGAAACAUCCACACUUGCGAUUGUGUUCAUCUAGCUGUCCUCCCAUUCUUCUCUUUUUUUUUAAAUUAAAAUAUAGUUGAUUUACAAUGUUGCCCCAAUUUCUGCUGUACGGUAAGGUGACUCAGACAUAUAUCCACAUUCUUUUUUAUAUAUUAUUUCCCCAUCUAUCCCUUAGAGCAAUUUAGAGAAAAUGGGUUAAAAAAAUCUGAGCAGGAGAUAAGGGGGCACUUGUGUUUGAACUGUACACCAUUUCUAAAUUCUCAUCUCAAGAACAAAUUAAGGCCAGAUGGGAAUAAUUUAAACUAUUUAUUUACAUCAUACUUUAAAACAGGGAGCCAGCUGGAACAAUGGCAGCUUGAGGUCAGCAUGUCCCCUAAUGUUCCUUUCCCAAGUAAUGUAACAACUUGAGCAGAGAAACCAAUGUGAAUUGCUAUAUCUCUUAGGAAGGUAAUCCGCCACUCUCCAUUCAAA
Molecule: long non-coding RNA, 6072 nt
Filed under: Sus scrofa (pig)
Lineage: Eukaryota; Metazoa; Chordata; Mammalia; Artiodactyla; Suidae
Description: lncRNA (ENSSSCG00005011431.1)
Source: RNAcentral